GAUGAACGCUGGCGGCGUGCUUAACACAUGCAAGUCGAACGGAAAGGCCAGUGCUUGCACUGGUGCUCGAGUGGCGAACGGGUGAGUAACACGUGGGUGAUCUGCCCUGCACUUUGGGAUAAGCCUGGGAAACUGGGUCUAAUACCAGAUAGGACCAUGCUUUGGAUGGUGUGGUGGAAAGUUUUUUCGGUGUGGGAUGAGCUUGCGGCCUAUCAGCUUGUUGGUGGGGUAAUGGCCUACCAAGGCGUCGACGGGUAGCCGGCCUGAGAGGGUGUACGGCCACAUUGGGACUGAGAUACGGGCCAGACUCCUACGGGAGGCAGCAGUGGGGAAUAUUGCACAAUGGGCGCAAGCCUGAUGCAGCGACGCCGCGUGGGGGAUGACGGCCUUCGGGUUGUAAACUCCUUUCGCAACUGACGAAGCUUUUUGUGACGGUAGGUUGAGAAGAAGCACCGGCUAACUACGUG
RNAcentral lists this ribosomal RNA (467 nucleotides) under uncultured bacterium. RNAcentral describes it as "partial 16S ribosomal RNA". It matches the Rfam family "Bacterial small subunit ribosomal RNA", at positions 28 to 507 of the family's 1533-position model. The record is from RNAcentral.